AGCAGCAAGCAGACUCCGCCCGGACUCCUACGGGAGCCGGGCUCUGCCGCCGACAUCGACUACAGGACAGCUUCGCUCGGACUCCUACGGGAGCCGGGCUCCGUCCUCGAUUCCAACGGCUGCAGACAGUCUUCGUCCGGACCUCUACGGUGGCCGGACUCUGACCACUGCCGAACUUCAGCCGACAGAUCAGCACUCCCAGGCCAC
This 207-nucleotide long non-coding RNA is filed under the name Elaeis guineensis (African oil palm). RNAcentral's name for it is "long non-coding RNA (EGUI_LNC041392)". The record is from RNAcentral. Lineage: Eukaryota; Viridiplantae; Streptophyta; Magnoliopsida; Arecales; Arecaceae.